AUACGGCCAUACCAUGCUGAAUAUACCGGUUCUCAUUAGAUCACCGAAGUCAAGCAUCAUUGGGCGCGGCGCGGUCCAGACCUUGGGUGGGUGACCACCUGAGAACACCGCGCGCCGUU
Caerostris darwini is the source of this 119-nucleotide non-coding RNA. The record is from the annotation of a GenBank genome assembly. NCBI's taxonomy places the organism in Eukaryota, Metazoa, Arthropoda, Arachnida, Araneae, Araneidae.